Molecule: long non-coding RNA, 2522 nt
Organism: Anopheles arabiensis
Lineage: Eukaryota; Metazoa; Arthropoda; Insecta; Diptera; Culicidae
Exons: 3
Source: RefSeq, a predicted model, not a curated record
UUGUAACAGUCGAAGAUGCUGACUGAUGUGUUGAAUGCAUUUCUCCGAAUUAGCGAUUCCUUGCAGAAGAGUUCAAAUGUUCCAAACUUCGCUAAACUCUGCCCUCUUGUUCCGCAAUCGAAAGCGAAAAAAAAUCGAAUACUUCGCUCGCAAGGUGUGCAGGUAAGCAUGAGUGUCACCAACCUUCACGUUUGUCGGUUUUUUAAUACAUGGCAUGUCGGGCGCAAAUAAGUUUGACAUUCCACCGACAUCCCGCAAUGAAUCAUCACUGCGACGAUGACGACGACGACGGCAAUGGUCUCGAUCGUGAAGAUGAAAUGGAUGGAUAAAGAAUACUGCAGAAGGUUCCACGGCGAGUGUUUUGAUGGCGACGGUUGAAACGGGCAGAUGGGCCAGGAUGGGGUCGGUGCGACACAUACCCACCAAAACAUAACAACAACAACAACAACAAUCCUGCACGAACAGGGCUGUAAGACGCGAAAGAUUGAAACCCACCCAGCGAGCAUAGGGAUAGCACCAGAAAUAGUUUCUUUUCCUGUAUCCUGACACAAUUACAAGGCAUCGAAACGAUACGGGUUGGGUUGGAGAAUAAUUUAUGGAGGUCAACGUGUAUUUUUCGCCACAAUGCUUCAACACGCUCAGUUUGGAAAAUGAACAUUAGCCACAAAAUUGCAUAAAUUGAACAAUAUUGAAAGAGAUUAAAAUGGAAAUACAAUACUAACUUUUAAAAAGAUGGUCCAAAACCUCUUCUACAAAACAAACGUCAAAACAUUCUUGAAGUACAGUUUGUGGCCACUGCUAAUGAUACAUUUGUCUGCCAGUGAACUCACACCAGUUUGUCAGUUCGUUGUCCGUUGACUAGAGCUUCAUUUCCGCAGGUUCCUACGAACCGUGAGCAGGCCAAUCUAAAGAGCGGGACACACCAAUCACCAUUAGCAAGGAAAUCAUGACGGGCACGAGGGGGAGGAGAGCGGGAAUCACUGGGUGGUAAAUAAAGGGAGCUCUCCUGCAGUGGGGUCGAGCCGCCGCAAGAGCACCUAAGAGCAGAAGCAUUUUUGAUGUCUAGAAAUAGCAGCGAAUAGCGUUGCGCUAUUCAAGAUACAACCUCUUCCCCCCUGCUGGCCAAUUUCGAUUUCGAAGAUGAGUCAUCGCCCGUUGGCCGUACGCCAGGGGUAGUGUGUCUCGAACAUCGCAGAAAGAGCACACGCCACGAGCGGGCGGGUUUGUAUGUGGUGGGAAUGAAACCGGGAAAGAGUUUCGUGCACGAGUUCGCGUGCACUUUACUACCGCACGAUCUUGAUCCUAACCGCAAAAUGGGAAAAAGAAAAAGAACGACCAGUAAAGAUGCUAUGUGUGUUUCUGUGCGUGUGUGUGGACGUAUGAAGCGAGAUGAAAAUAAUCCGUAUCCGCGUAGCCACCGCCCGCUCUGUCCACGGAUUCACAUUACUGGGGACGAUCCCAGGGAAUGGAAGAGAAAGCUACGAGACGAAUGGGUUGCUGCGUGUGAUGGGUCUUUCGGAUCCCAGUCGAGCCGUGCCGUCUGUGGUGAACAGAUGGAGCGCUGGCUGUCUGAGGCAACUGGUCUCCGCGCUGCUUGCUGCGGCACGAUCGUGAAUUAAUCGAAAGGAAUGAUGCAGGCGGUGGGUCCUUCUUGCGGGACUAUUUUUAAACUCUAAUCCAUCUUUUCCGCACUAUCCACAAAGCAAGGACGCCAACACACACACACACAGACACUCUGACAUGGGAAGAGGGAAGAGUGUAGAUCAGAUUGGAUGGACGGGUCAUUGCGGGUGUAUUUCUAGGGGACGUUACACUAAUUGAUGCGGUAACCGGCCCACUAACAAGUUUUCCGAAUCGGAAAGGUUAGUAGCCGCGCACUGAGUAGCCUCAAACACAGAGACAAGCGGGAAUGAAUCAGAAAGCUGAUCCGUUUUACUGUUUCGCACAUAAAUCACGCUGAUUUACGCUCGAUUUGCUAAUGAUGAAACGAAGUGUAGCAAUAAAGAGGAUUUAUUUUCAGCUGUCUGCGCUCGCGCACUGUACGUCUGCCUUUGGCACCGCAGCACGACCAUUCGGACUGUUGGAAUCAUCUCGCUCGAACUGUGAGCGCCGUGUAUCGACGAGCUUCUAUUCGGGCAACACACUUUGACCUCCAGUGCGGCCACCUUCCCGCCAUCUCUUCAACUUUCGACCGACGAUUCGGUACGGUCUGUUUAUGCUACGAACCUUCCGCCCACCUUUCCUCUCAAGUGGUGAAAUUGCCUCACGAUCUACGCAUUUCAACACAGGCUCAGUACGGCAUGACUCAUGGUUUUGGUUGUUGCCGGUUUCGGAGGGAGAAUCCGCGUGAGAUUUGUGGCCCUCUGUGUAUUUAUUGAAAACUGAAAGAUAAAGCGAGUACACUAAAUAUUCAUGCUACUUCGUAGCAGCUCUUUCUGUUCGUCCAGUUCGCUGUAAAAAUUAUUCCGAUUUGUGAUUUGUGUGAGCAACAGCGGGUAGGAACACUUUCAAUCUAAAGGAAU